GGGGGCUCAGGGUGCCUUGCACAGCUCAGGAUGAACGUGGGGACAGAAAUCCAGAGGGAUGGGGCAGAGGGCAGAUGCCACAGGGAACAACCUGCCAUUGGGGUGUUGAAAUCCCAAACGCAGGAGAGCCAAAGGCAGCAGAGCCAGGGUCACCCCCAGUGCCCUGCCUCAGUUUCCUCCAUCGUUUUAGGGUGCACUGUGGCAUUGGGGCAGACCUGCCGGGGGUUCCUGAAGAAAACAGGGAGCAAAAACAUUCUCCUGGAAAUAAAUGAUGAAGGGAGGCAUGAUGGGAAAAUAAAUCUGGCAAUUUGAUCAUUCUCAGAACCUUCCCUGAAGGGUGCAGGGACGCAGGGGUGCAGAGUGAAGGGUGCAGGGGGUUGGGUGAAGGGUGCAGGGGGUAGGGUUAAAGAUGAGGGGUAGGGUGAAGGGUGAAGGGUGCAGGGGGUAGGGGGCAGGACGAGAGUUCCAGGGUGCUGGGUGCAGGGUGCUGGGUGCAGGAUGAGGGUCUCUGGGUGCAGGAUGGCAGUCCCUGGGUGCAGGGUGAAUGCAGGGUGCUGGGUGAAGGGUGCAGGACGAGUGCAGGGUGCAGGAUGGGUGCAGGGUCACUGGGUGCAGGGUGAGGGCAGGAUUAGUGCCGCAUGCUGGGCCCAGGAUGGGUGCAGGGUGCUGGGUGAGUGCAGGGUGCAGGAUGGGUGUCACUGGGUGCGGGAUAAGGGCAGGAUCGGUGCUGGGUGAGUGCUGAGUGCAGGAUGAGGGUUACAGGGUGCAGGAUGGGUGCUGGGUGCAGGAUGGGAGUCACUGGGUGCAGGAUGAGGGUUACAGGGUGCAGGAUGGGUGCUGGGUGCUGGGUGCAGGAUGGGUGCUGAGCAGGAUGGGUGCUGGGUGCAGGAUGGAGUCACUGGGUGCAGGAUGGGUGCUGGGUGCAGGAUGGAGUCACUGGGUGCAGGAUGGGUGCUGGGUGCAGGAUGGAGUCACUGGGUGCAGGAUGGGUGCUGGGUGCAGGAUGGAGUCACUCGGAGCAGGAUCGGUGCCGGUGCGGGGCGCAGGUGUCGCACCGCGGGCUCGCAGCGCCAUCGCGUGGCUGGAACGGACCCGCACGGGAACGGGAUGGGAUGGGAAAGGGAUGGGAUACGGGGAUGGGAUACGGGGAUGGGAUACGGGGAUGGGAUACGGGGAUGGGAUACGGGGAUGGGAUACGGGGAUGGGAUACGGGGAUGGGAUACGGGGAUGGGAUACGGGGAUGGGAUACGGGGAUGGGAUACGGGGAUGGGAUACGGGGAUGGGAUACGGGGAUGGGAUACGGGGAUGGGAUACGGGGAUGGGAUACGGGGAUGGGAUACGGGGAUGGGAUACGGGGAUGGGAUACGGGGAUGGGAUACGGGGAUGGGAUACGGGGAUGGGAUACGGGGAUGGGAUACGGGGAUGGGAUACGGGGAUGGGAUACGGGGAUGGGAUACGGGGAUGGGAUACGGGGAUGGGAUACGGGGAUGGGAUACGGGCUUUUUUUUNNNNNNNNNNNNNNNNNNNNNNNNNNNNNNNNNNNNNNNNNNNNNNNNNNNNNNNNNNNUGGGAUGGGAUGGGAUGGGAUGGGAUGGGAUGGGAUGGGAUGGGAUGGGAUGGGAUGGGAUGGGAUGCGAUGGGAUGGGAUGCGAUGGGAUGCGAUGGGAUGCGAUAGGAGAUAGGAUGGGAUGGGAGAUGGGAUGGGAACGGCAUUAGGCUGCACCGCCAGGAUGUGCUGCUCUGUGCCCCCAGCACCGUGUGGAGCUCACCCCAUCCCCCUGUGCCCGUUCUGCACCCUUUGCUCACCACCACCACCGCGGCUCUCGGGGUGUCACAGGCUGGCAGUGGGGUUCAGGACUCCAAGUUUCCAUGUCCCAACGUGACGCCAGCCCUGCCUGCACCCCCG
Ficedula albicollis (Collared flycatcher) is the source of this 1906-nucleotide long non-coding RNA. The record is from Ensembl. Lineage: Eukaryota; Metazoa; Chordata; Aves; Passeriformes; Muscicapidae.